This 493-nucleotide ribosomal RNA is filed under the name uncultured bacterium. Its description in RNAcentral is "partial 16S ribosomal RNA". It matches the Rfam family "Bacterial small subunit ribosomal RNA", at positions 28 to 507 of the family's 1533-position model. The record is from RNAcentral.
GACGAACGCUGGCGGCGUGCUUAACACAUGCAAGUCGAACGGUGAAGCGCCUUCCUUUUCGGCGGGUGUGGUCUUGUGGGGCACGGUGGAGUACCAGUUAAUUACCCUGCCCCCUCCUGCUGCAUAACGGGAUGAAAGUGUUGGUAAUACGGGAUAUUCCGGGUUUGCCGCAUGAGGGGUCUGGAACAGAUAUUGUUUGGGUUGGGAUUGGCUCGCGGCCUCUCAGCUUGUUGGUGGGGUGAUGGCCUACCGAGGCGGUGACGGGUAGCCGGCCUGAGAGGGUGGACGGGCACACUGGGACGGGGGCACGGCCAAGACUGGUACGGGAGGCAGCAGUGGCGAAUACGGCACACUGGGGGGGAGCAUGAUGCAGCGACGCCGCGUGAGGGAUGGAGGCCUUCGGGUUGUGAACCUCUUUCGCCAGUGAAGCAGGCCUGCCUCGUCUGUGGGUGGGUUGACGGUAGCUGGAGAAGAAGCGCCGGCUAACUACGUG